This 303-nucleotide ribosomal RNA is filed under the name uncultured bacterium. RNAcentral describes it as "partial 16S ribosomal RNA". It matches the Rfam family "Bacterial small subunit ribosomal RNA", at positions 507 to 807 of the family's 1533-position model. The record is from RNAcentral.
AGCAGUCGCCGCGGUAAUACGUAGGUGGCAAGCGUUGUCCGGAAUUAUUGAGCGUAAAGGGCUCGCAGGCGGUUUCUUAAGUCUGAUGUGAAAGCCCCCGGCUCAACCGGGGAGGGUCAUUGGAAACUGGGAAACUUGAGUGCAGAAGAGGAGAGUGGAAUUCCACGUGUAGCGGUGAAAUGCGUAGAGAUGUGGAGGAACACCAGUGGCGAAGGCGACUCUCUGGUCUGUAACUGACGCUGAGGAGCGAAAGCGUGGGGAGCGAACAGGAUUAGAUACCCGCGUAGUCCCUGUCUCUUAUAC